Danio rerio (zebrafish) is the source of this 291-nucleotide non-coding RNA. Ensembl annotates it as desmoglein 2, tandem duplicate 1. Its record names the gene dsg2.1. NCBI's taxonomy places the organism in Eukaryota, Metazoa, Chordata, Actinopteri, Cypriniformes, Danionidae. The record is from Ensembl.
CCAGAACGCACAGCUGUUUCAGCGGAUUUAUUUUCCGAGAGUUUCCCACCGGCGGCCGGUAACAGAAACAGAGCUCAGGUGAUCAGGAAAUAUCGUGUUCAUCCGGCCAUGGCCCGGCGAAUUUCACCUGUUGUCGCGUUCCUGCUUUGUUUUGGAUUGUCGCAUUUCUUUGAGGCUGAAGCCAGAUUGCAGCACUCUGUGGCCCUCCACAGGCAGAAGAGAGAAUGGAUCGUCCCUCCACAGAUCCUAGAGGAAAACGUAGAUUACACCAAGAAAGACUUCAUUGCAAAA